CGGAUGGUCAUGCGCGCAUUAGCUUGUUGGCGGGGUAACGGCCCACCAAGGCGACGAUGCGUAGGGGUUCUGAGAGGAAGGUCCCCCACACUGGUACUGAGACACGGACCAGACUCCUACGGAAGGCAGCAG
RNAcentral lists this ribosomal RNA (132 nucleotides) under uncultured bacterium. RNAcentral's name for it is "partial 16S ribosomal RNA". It matches the Rfam family "Bacterial small subunit ribosomal RNA", at positions 222 to 354 of the family's 1533-position model. The record is from RNAcentral.